AGGGUUUGAUUCUGGCUCAGGACGAACGCUGGCGGUGCGCCUUAUGCAUGCAAGUCGAGCGAAGCUUUUCAGUAGUUUACUACAGAAAAUGACUGAGCGGCGAACGGGUGAGUAACGCGUGAGCAAUCUACCUUAGUUACAGGGAUAGCCCGAGGAAACUCGGAUUAAUACCUGAUAUUCUUUAUUUCUCGCAUGAGAAUAAAAGGAAAGGUCAGCCGAACUAAGAUGAGCUCGCGUUCUAUCAGCUUGUUGGUGAGGUAAAAGCUUACCAAGGCUACGACGGAUAGCUGGUCUGAGAGGACGAUCAGCCACACUGGGACUGAGACACGGCCCAGACUCCUACGGGAGGCUGCAGCAGGGAAUAUUGUGCAAUGAACGAAGGUUUGACACAGCGACACCGCGUGUGGGAUGACGGAUCUAGGUUUGUAAACCACUUUCAGGAGGGAAGAAAAUGACGGUACCUCCACAAGAAGCCCCGGCCAACUACGUGCCAGCCGCCGCGGUAAUUC
This 509-nucleotide ribosomal RNA is filed under the name uncultured bacterium. RNAcentral describes it as "bacterial SSU rRNA". It matches the Rfam family "Bacterial small subunit ribosomal RNA", at positions 8 to 526 of the family's 1533-position model. The record is from RNAcentral.